CUGCUGGUCUCCCUCGGGGGGCAAYGUGCACGCCCGAGCUCACGACAAACCCCCAUGGGCCUUCGGGCCCGUGGACAUCACACCCCGUCUUAUACAGAAUGUCUUUUUAGUACGUCGCCCUGAAAAAGCGAYGGAACCUUAUACAACUUUCAACAACGGAUCUCUUGGCUCUCGCAUCGAUGAAGAACGCAGCGAAAUGCGAUAAGUAAUGUGAAUUGCAGAUUUUCAGUGAAUCAUCGAAUCUUUGAACGCACCUUGCGCCCCUCGGUAUUCCGAGGGGCAUGCCUGUUUGAGUGUCAUUAAACCUUCAACCCCACCGGCCUUGUCGUGUGGGGCUUGGACUUGGGGUGUGCUGGCGAUUUACGUCGGCUCCCCUUUAAAUGCAUCAGUGAAGAGGGUGCUCGACCAUUUUCCUUUCUCCGGAAGGUGAUGGCCCGUUCGGUGUGAUAAUCCUGUUGCGCCGUCGGACUGGGGUCGAGUUCCGCUUUGCUUCCAACGGUCCCUUGUGGACGACGCCAUUCGAAUUUGACCUCAAAUCAGGUAGGGACUACCC
RNAcentral lists this ribosomal RNA (553 nucleotides) under uncultured Amphinema. Its description in RNAcentral is "eukaryotic LSU rRNA". Lineage: Eukaryota; Fungi; Basidiomycota; Agaricomycetes; Atheliales; Atheliaceae. The record is from RNAcentral.